CACUUGCUGCUCGCCCUUCAGUCCCGCGAGGGGGCGGCUCCGGCCGGCGCCCAGACCAAGGGCUGGGAAUGAUGUUGAAUCCAUGCAUCUUAGACUCCGUAGGAUAUAGAUGGAGAAACUGGAGCAGAGAGUUAUUUCAGUAACUCAAUUCUUUUACCUGCUUACAAUGACUGAAUAAUAGAACUGGAAGUAGAGCCUCAUCAUUUAACUGGACGAAGCUGUGCCAUCCUCAGGGACAUAUCAAAAGGUGGACUGGAACCUCUGGGAAGAUUUAAAGUUAACUGUUAUUUGGUGGUGGCCUGAGGAAAUAAUAUCAACCCUGAUGUUGUCCUGAAACUCAUGUCCA
This 346-nucleotide long non-coding RNA is filed under the name Sarcophilus harrisii (Tasmanian devil). Its description in RNAcentral is "lncRNA (ENSSHAG00000027488.1)". The record is from RNAcentral. Lineage: Eukaryota; Metazoa; Chordata; Mammalia; Dasyuromorphia; Dasyuridae.